CUUAUGAAUUCUUAAUUAAUCUUUUGGCCACACAAAAGUCAGUCACAAGUAACAUUUAGAAGGAAAAGUUUAAAGAAAAUUUGGAUUAUUAACUAGAUUUGGAAGAAAAAAUUUAAUUUAAACUAAAAUUGAAAUACUGUUCAUAAGGGCAAUGUUUUUCAAAUUUUGGCCCUAGCUCUGUUUAUGUUACUACGCCUCUGCCUCUGCCUCUGCCACGCCUCUGAUCGUCGUUCUCUUUCUCUCUUUCUCUCGACACCUCGAUUCAGAACCCCUACCCACGAACCCAGAAACACCUCAAACAACCACCAUCAUCUCGAUUCAGAACCCCUACCCACGAACCCAGAAACACCUCAAACAACCACCAUUCUCAUCCUUUCGACCUCACGAACCGAAGUCCAUACCCAAUCUCACUCCCCAGGUCAGAUUUAUACCUUGAAUGUACCAUUUUUUGUGAUUUUAUCCCUAAAACUCAUGAGUUUUCUGACGUUUUUGCAACGAUUUCGGCGAAGGCUGGCGUCGACUUGGUCUCAAACGAUUUCUCAGCACCUCAGGUAUAAAGAUCUACUUCAAAUUUGUGAUCAAUAUAAUUGGGUCCUAGUAAAUUUUUCAUCAUUUUGUAGAUUUUUUUUUCCUUCUAACUUUAUGGGUUUUGGAGAAUGUUUCGUUAAAUUUCUGGGUUUUUUUCUGUGUGAUUUUAUCUCGAAUUUAAUAAUUUUUUGUAUGUUUUGUACAAUUCUUAGAUUAAAUUUCUGAAGUGAUAAGCCAAAUUCAAGUUUGAAAAAAAAAAAAAAAAAAUUAUUAUACCUGUUUUGUUUAUGUGGCAAAAACAAACAACCACCAUUCUCAUCCUUUCGACCUCACGAACCGAAGUCCAUACCCAAUCUCACUCCCCAGGCUGGCGUCGACUUGGUCUCAAACGAUUUCUCAGCACCUCAGUCACGAGACGAAAAGGCUUUGAAGGCAAAAGCAAGACCAAAGGACUUUGAAGGCAAAAGCUAGAAAUGGAGGGUGUGUGUGGAUUGUGGACUAUUAAUUGGGCAGGGGAAGCAAAAGAAUAUGCAGAGAGGUGGGGUUUACGUGUGAGGGCAGAGUAAGGAGAGGAAGCAAAAGCAUCAAUAUAUAUACACUUUAAGCAAGUGACUCUUUACCACAAUGGUGGAAAUGUGUUAAGCUCUUGCAUGACGUGAGUUCAAAUUCCGUUAGUGGCUAAUCUAAUAUCUAAUAUAACAAAAUUCAUCAUUUGACAAAAAUACACGCACACACACACUCUAAGAUCUACUCCAACCCUUGAAGUAAAACUCAAAUUUUAGGUUUCAUAUAUAUGUA
This is an RNA transcript of Pyrus x bretschneideri (Chinese white pear), 1326 nucleotides long. RefSeq lists it as uncharacterized. The record is from RefSeq and is a predicted model, not a curated record. Lineage: Eukaryota; Viridiplantae; Streptophyta; Magnoliopsida; Rosales; Rosaceae. The transcript has 3 exons.